UACGUAGGGUGCAAGCGUUAAUCGGAAUUACUGGGCGUAAAGCGUGCGCAGGCGGUGAUGUAAGACAGGUGUGAAAUCCCCGGGCUUAACCUGGGAACUGCAUUUGUGACUGCAUCGCUGGAGUGCGGCAGAGGGGGAUGGAAUUCCGCGUGUAGCAGUGAAAUGCUUAGAGAUGACAUAGAACACCUAUUGCGAAGGCAGCUUACUACGCAGAUAUUGACGCUCAUGCACGAAAGCGUGGGGAUCAAACAGG
RNAcentral lists this ribosomal RNA (253 nucleotides) under uncultured bacterium. RNAcentral's name for it is "partial 16S ribosomal RNA". It matches the Rfam family "Bacterial small subunit ribosomal RNA", at positions 524 to 776 of the family's 1533-position model. The record is from RNAcentral.